Molecule: ribosomal RNA, 444 nt
Filed under: Escherichia coli
Lineage: Bacteria; Pseudomonadati; Pseudomonadota; Gammaproteobacteria; Enterobacterales; Enterobacteriaceae
Also listed under: 1 other name
Description: bacterial SSU rRNA
Rfam family: Bacterial small subunit ribosomal RNA
Source: RNAcentral
CUGAGAGGAUGACCAGCCACACUGGAACUGAGACACGGUCCAGACUCCUACGGGAGGCAGCAGUGGGGAAUAUUGCACAAUGGGCGCAAGCCUGAUGCAGCCAUGCCGCGUGUAUGAAGAAGGCCUUCGGGUUGUAAAGUACUUUCAGCGGGGAGGAAGGGAGUAAAGUUAAUACCUUUGCUCAUUGACGUUACCCGCAGAAGAAGCACCGGCUAACUCCGUGCCAGCAGCCGCGGUAAUACGGAGGGUGCAAGCGUUAAUCGGAAUUACUGGGCGUAAAGCGCACGCAGGCGGUUUGUUAAGUCAGAUGUGAAAUCCCCGGGCUCAACCUGGGAACUGCAUCUGAUACUGGCAAGCUUGAGUCUCGUAGAGGGGGGUAGAAUUCCAGGUGUAGCGGUGAAAUGCGUAGAGAUCUGGAGGAAUACCGGUGGCGAAGGCGGCCCC